This 251-nucleotide ribosomal RNA is filed under the name uncultured bacterium. RNAcentral describes it as "partial small subunit ribosomal RNA". It matches the Rfam family "Bacterial small subunit ribosomal RNA", at positions 26 to 281 of the family's 1533-position model. The record is from RNAcentral.
AGGAUGAACGCUAGCGGGAGGCCUAACACAUGCAAGCCGAGCGGUAUAGUUCCUUCGGGGACUAGAGAGCGGCGUACGGGUGCGUAACACGUGUGCAACCUACCUUUAUCUGGGGGGAUAGCCUUUCGAAAGGAAGAUUAAUACCCCAUAACAUACUGAAUGGCAUCAUUCGGUAUUGAAAACUCCGGUGGAUAGAGAUGGGCACGCGCAAGAUUAGAUAGUGGUGGGUAACGCCCACCAAGUCAGUGAUC